Molecule: long non-coding RNA, 3647 nt
Filed under: Theobroma cacao (cacao)
Lineage: Eukaryota; Viridiplantae; Streptophyta; Magnoliopsida; Malvales; Malvaceae
Description: long non-coding RNA (TCAC_LNC001100)
Source: RNAcentral
AUUCCCGAUCUUCGGGCACAAUCUCUUUACCUUUGUUAGAGGGCUCACCACCUAUACAUCAUACGUGACACGAAUUUCAAUAAAUUGUGUCAAUGUAUCAUAAACUAUUUCAGGCUCUAAAAAUCUAUAUGAAUGUAUGAAAUGUGAUGCAAAAUGUCCGAAUAGACAUUUAAAUGCGGUAUUCGACCUAAUUCGCACUAUUCUCGGUGUAAUUGGCUAAAACCUCCAAUUUAACUCCAAAUCGAUUUCUUUCAUUUUUUACACUCCAAUUAUUCUUAAAAUACCUCAAUGACUGUGAAUAUGAUUCAAUUUAUCAGUCCGAACCACAAAUCGCACAUGUUUAUACAUUAGGUAAAAAUUCAGAUUUUCAUGCCAAAAUUUCCCAUUUAAAUUUCUAGCCUCACCAAUCAUUAAAUACUACCAAAAUAUCAUGAAAUAUCAUCAAUUUCAGCCUCAAUAUCCUCUCUAGAAAAUUCAACCUCUUGUGGGUUUGUGAAGAACAAAGUGAUUCCUUGCUAGAUUUUCAUACUUUCCAUUACCAAACAACCAAAAACACUUAAUUAGCUCGAAAUCUAGCAAAAUCAAUGCUCAAAACCUCUCCUCUCAAAUUCGGCUAGCAUGGGUUUAUCAUGCAAACUUGAGUUCUAAGCAUGGAAAAUGAAAAAGAAAGCAUGGGUUGUCACGACCCGAAACUCCCAUCGAGCCUGUGACAACCGCCUUGACGUCCCGAUAGGCACUCAUUACCCCGAAUGCCGAUCGAAACCACGCAAGGCUUAGCAUCAGCUUUCGCAUCUCCCCAGUGAGCGACAGCUAUUAAAUCUCACAUUUCAAAAAAAUCAUAAGUCAUUUCCAAAUCAAAACAAUAAAAUAUUACUUUCUGGCUCAUAGGGGCAUUUUCGUCAUUUUUCUUUGAAAAUAUCGAAACUCGCCAAAAACAUGGUGUAAAAGCUAAAUAUAUUCAUACAUACUUUAAAUCAAAUAACUGAAGAAUAAAAUUACUUUUACAGUGACACGUGGGCCCUCAACUGACUAAGAAGAUGUAGGGCUAUGAACCCUUACUUUCUAGGAUGCAACUCUGAGAUUACUUCUCAUCUUAAUCAACUAUCAACAAAUUGUCCUGAGCCUGAAAAAUGGAUAGGAAUAGGGGUGAGAUUAUGAUUACAUAAUCCCAGUGAGUAGACAGACAUCAUCAAAACAAUCUAAAGCCGAGUAAUAGGAGACAAUUAAAAUAAUUCAUCCCAACCCAUAUAAAUAAUUGGAUUUCAUUCAAUUACUCAACAUGGCUUAUGCACUUUUCAAAAACUUGGCCCUUGCCAAAAAUCCAUUCUCGGGGAUACCCCACGGAGGUAUCUUACCGAGACCGCCAAGGCUGUUUAUUGUCACACACACAAACACAUUUCACCUCUGACAACACAGCCGUUCCUUGGCGUUGGCUGAGUCUCACUCUCACGUGGUGGCCCGAACGUGAGGCGCACUCAAAUCCUACCUCGGGAGUUAUCCUACGCGCCUCUCCAAUCGAGGUAAGCUCAUUAAUUGGGAACCGUGCCCCUCUAAUUAGGCUAGCCCACGGAACCCCCGUCACUGCGGUGCCCACUUUAUAACCCACCAACCAAUAAAAUCACAAUAGUAUGACAUGGCUCACUUAACACAUUCAAGGAAAAUCAAAAUAGUUCACAUAUUCUUUAAAUCAUAGAAAUAACUAGCCAUACCCACAUUUAUCAUAAGCCAUUUAAUGUAAAAUCAUGGAUAAACAACACAAUCAUAGUAUAGGUCUCCAAUUACUCUAUUUUUGAAAUCAUUAUUAAAUUUUCAAAAAUUUUAUAAAAUUAUUUUAUAAAAUCUCAUUUUCCCAUAAAACACAAUAAUUUUUCAAUUAAACCAUUUUUCCAUAAAAUCACUCAAUUAAAUAAAUCUACUCUAGAUAAUUAAGAUGAUAGUAAGUUUACUCACAAUUCUAGGAGUCGAUAUACUCCUAUUUUCAGUCCACGGGUACAGUCCUUUACCUGUAUCUAAUGGCUCACCACCUAGCCAUAAUCCAUGGCACAUAUUUCAAUUAAAUUGGGUCUAACAGUCAUAAGCUAUUUCAGGCUCGAUAUAUAUGCGUGAUAUGAAAUGAAAAAUGCACAGGUUAUUGACCUAAGUCGAUUUUUCAUCCAAUAAAUUGGCCAAUGCGUCCAAUUUCACUCAAACUUGCUCCAUUUCUUUUCCAAUCCCUCAAUUCACCAAGCACAACUAAUUAACACACAAUUAGGCAAAAUUUAUCUUCACUUUUCUUCUUGGAACUUUCGGCCAACAAUGGUACACUAACUCCGUGAUUUUUCCUACUUAAUUUUCUUUCCAUAAUUCAUUAAUUCCUACACCAAAAACUAUUAUUUCUUAAUCAAAUCACCUAGAAUAACAUCUCAUUCUUCCUCUUUAUUCACUUAGAGAAUUCGGCUAUUGAUGGGAACCAAACCUUUGGUGGUUUUCUUCACUUGUUUUCAUGCUACACAUCAUUAAUCACCUAAAAACACUAAUAUACCUAAAAAUCAAACCAAUCCAAGAUCAUUCUCUCUCCAUACCCAUUUUGACCAGCCAUGAAUUCAUCAUGAAAACAUGUAAUUUAACCAUGGAACUUAAGGGAAAAUGCAUGGGUAAGGUAAAUCACUAGCAAAAUCAAAGAAAUUUUACCUUUGCUUGAUCAAAUCCUUGAAUUCCAACAUUUUCUCUUUGAUUUGUCCCACCUAGGGUUUGUUUUUCCUUGGUUUCUCUUCUCUUCUGGUUUGGCUGAUCACUAUGGGAGAAAUAGGCUGAUUUUUUUGCCUUUUUAUAAAGAUACAAUAAAAUAAUAAAAACAUGACACAUGGCAUUUCUUUAUUGGUUCAAAUUUUAAAUAUUUAACUUUUAAUUGUUUAAUUCUCCACCACACAUUUCUCAUGUUUAUCCAUCUCCACGAUGAAUAAAAUCCCUUGGUCUUGACAAGUGUCGAGGUGAAAAUUUAUCGAUUUGCCCCCGAGGUGGCAAAAUUACCAUUUCACCCUUAUACUCUAAAUUAUACCGGAAUUAAAAUUUUUCACUUCUAAACUUCAAAUCAUACUCCAAUAAGUCAAAUGGACCAAAAAAAUCUUUUCUAAAAUUUCCAUUUUGUCCCUAAGUGGCAAAUGACCAUUUUGCCCUUAGAUAUUGAAAAUUUCGGUUUGACUCCAAAUUGAUCCUCGAACUCCGAAUUGCCAUUUUGAGUCAUCCAUGAACUGUGAGACUCUUAAUUUCACCUUAAAAUUCCUAUUUGAACUAGUUCGAGGCUUAAUCGACUUAAUAGUACCAUUAGGGGCAAUAUCGUCUUUUAACGAUUUCUCAAACUUCCUAAAUAUGUAACCAUUCUAUUGAGCAUGUAAAUGAUGUCGUAAUUAUUUUAUAGAACAGGGUUUGACAUGGGUAGUGUAAAUCACAAGAUAAAAUUACAAAAUUUUACCUUUAUUAGCUUAAUCCCUUGAAAUCCCAUACUUUUUCUUCAAUUUUCCCACCUAGGGUUUGUGUUCUUUCCUUUCCUCUUCACUUCAUGCUUUUGGCCGGCCAUACGGAUGAGACUAAGAGAGUUUUAAAUAGAUUUUACAAGGAAAUUCUAGAAUAAUCCAAGCUUGACACAUGGCAUGUUUCCAUUGGUCCAU